UGUAACAUGUGUGUAAAAGUCUUCUCAGAUUUCCUUUCCGUUUCUUUUCUGCAGAGAACUUCACAACCCUGAAGCCAGAGGCUAAAUCUGAUGAGCUUAGCAGGUAGGUGAGAGGAGGGCUGGACCCGUGGGUGAGACGUACUGGGGACUGUGGAGGAGGGGUCUGCCUGGCUUGGGUGCGGGGACUUGGGUGUGGGACCAUGGCUCUGGAGGUUGGGGCAGAGGAGAGAGGCUGAAAAUGGAGGCAGGAAAUGGGUAGGAAUUGGAUACAUGGAAGCCCAGAGAUGGAAGAACUCCUCCAAGUGUCGGAGGCCCCAGGGCAAUUCUGUGGGUGGUCACGGACCCUGGGUCAAGGCAGCUGGAACACCUUCAUUUCUCUCAUUUGCUUCUCCCAGCUUGGGCACCGCGGCCACAGCCAUUUCUGGCUCUGUCGGUGUUGUGGCUCUCAUCUUGCUCCUGGUGGGUCUCUUGUCCAUGACCCUGAAGAAGUGGAGACAUGAGAGACUGUUUCAGAAACAGCUGAGGCACCAGACCGACUUUCUCCAUAAAACUUCGGAGAUUUCCUGCCAUGCUGAUGCCAUAUAUUCCAACGUGAUCAACCUGGAUCCCUGGAAAGAGGACGACUUUGCUGUCUAUGGCAACGUGCCCCCUUUCGAUCGCCCCAGGAAGACGUCCCCAGACCGAGUGGAAUAUGCCUCCAUUGUAUUCCGCUGAUGGGAGGCUGGCGACAUGCUUCAGACAACGAAGCCUUCUAACGCCUGCUUCGGGGAUAGACGCUCCCAUGGCCACCCGCACCACCCCCUUGGGUCACCACUGUCGGCUCUCCAUCUCAGCCCUUCGGUUACUGUGCUCAGCCUUUGCCAAAUAAACUAAUUUCCCCGAGUCCAGGCUUUCUCAUCUGUAAAACGGAAAUACUAAUGGCUACUUCAACAGGUGCCGUCUGAUGAUGUUACAUGAAAAUAUUCUAUAAACUAAAAGAUGCUA
RNAcentral lists this long non-coding RNA (984 nucleotides) under Mustela putorius furo (domestic ferret). RNAcentral describes it as "lncRNA (ENSMPUG00000026215.1)". The record is from RNAcentral. Lineage: Eukaryota; Metazoa; Chordata; Mammalia; Carnivora; Mustelidae.